UACGGAAGGCAGCAGUGGGGAAUAUUGCACAAUGGGUGAAAGCCUGAUGCAGCUAUGCCGCGUGUAUGAAGAAGGCCUUAGGGUUGUAAAGUACUUUCAUCGGGGAGGAAAAAACAAAACUAAUAAUUUUAUUUCUUGACGUUACCCGAAAAAGAAGCACCGGCUAACUCCGUGCCAGCAGCCGCGGUAAUACGGAGGGUGCUAGCGUUAAUCAGAAUUACUGGGCGUAAAGAGCACGUAGGUGGUUUUUUAAGUCAGAUGUGAAAUCCCUGGGCUUAACCUAGGAACUGCAUUUUGAAACUGAAAUACUAGAGUAUCGUAGAGGGAGGUAGAAUUCUAGGUGUAGCGGUGAAAUGCGUAGAUAUCUGGAGGAAUACCUGUGGCGAAAGCGGCCUCCUAAACGAAUACUGACACUGAGGUGCGAAAGCGUUGGGGAGCAAACAGGGAUUAGAUACC
This 456-nucleotide ribosomal RNA is filed under the name uncultured bacterium. Its description in RNAcentral is "bacterial SSU rRNA". It matches the Rfam family "Bacterial small subunit ribosomal RNA", at positions 340 to 786 of the family's 1533-position model. The record is from RNAcentral.